RNAcentral lists this ribosomal RNA (467 nucleotides) under uncultured bacterium. RNAcentral describes it as "SSU rRNA". It matches the Rfam family "Bacterial small subunit ribosomal RNA", at positions 26 to 523 of the family's 1533-position model. The record is from RNAcentral.
AGCCUGAACGCUGGCGGCGUGGCUAAGACAUGCAAGUCGUACGGGUGUAGCAAUACACCAGUGGCGGACGGGUGAGUAAUGUAUCGCUAACGUACCCCGGAUUCUGGGAUAGCUGCCCGAAAGGGCAGGUAAUACCGGAUGAUAUAUCCUUUUCGCAUGAUGAGGAUCUCAAAGGGAAACCGUUCUGGGAGCGGGCGAUAUCGUAUCAGCUAGUUGGUGAGGUAACGGCUCACCAAGGCGACGACGCGUAGCCGGACUGAGAGGUUGGCCGGCCACAUUGGGACUGAGACACUGCCCAGACUCCUACGGGGGGCUGCAGUAACGAAUCUUCCGCAAUGCACGCAAGUGUGACGGAGCGACGCCGCGUGUGGGACGAAGUCCUUCGGGAUGUAAACCACUGUCAGGGGUUAGAAGUUCUGAUCAACCCAGAGGAGGCACGGCUAACUCUGCGCCAGCAGCCGCGGUAA